Molecule: unclassified non-coding RNA, 276 nt
Filed under: uncultured fungus
Lineage: Eukaryota; Fungi
Description: partial contains 18S rRNA, ITS1, 5.8S rRNA, ITS2 and 28S rRNA
Source: RNAcentral
AAGGAUCAUUACAAAACCCAUGCCCGGCCAAUUUGCGGGCAGGGCGCCGCGCCCCCGCGGCCCCCAACUCUCACACCCUCUGCGUACACAUCCCUGUUGCUUCCCCGGGGAGGGGCCGCGCGCCGCCCCGGGGGAGGGCCACCAAAGAGCACACGAUGCCGACCAACCUUCCGGCCGUUCCACCUGUCUGAAGGCCGACGGGCCGAGGAAGAAGGAGAGGGAGAGGAAAUGAAUCGAAACAAAAAAAAACUUUCAACAACGGAUCUCUUGGUUCCC